CUGUACUUUAUUAUGUCAAAUCGGCCAUCAUAGCGUGCCGUGAGUUUACAUUAUUUUGUUCCCUUCAUCAACAUUAAUGUGAGUACCAACCGGUUUAUAACGUCCAUCUCUUAUCAAUCAGGACGUCAAAUGAUCAGUUAUAACCAGUGUGUUGAUGCAAGUAAUUGUUUCCUAUGCUAAACAUAAGAAACGUGAUCUAGUGGUUGAGCGUUGUGCUUACGAUCCGGAGGUCCCGGGUUUGAGUCCCGGUGGGAACAAAUCACCUGAUUGCCCAAAAGUAAGAUGAUCCGUGCUUCGGAAGGCACGUUAAGGCAUUGGUCCCGGUUACUACUUACUGAUGUAAGUUAGUAGUCGUUACAUGAGUCAUGUCAGAGGCCUAUGGCGGCUCAGUAAUAACCCUGACACCAGGAUUUAUGGGGUUGGUAAUCCACCUCACAAUCCACACGAUAGAAGAAGAAAAUGCUAAACACGUGCGUGAAUCUGUCUGUAAAGUUAAGCUAGGCGAAAAUUUUACUCCCAAAGGUACGACUUGUAACAGAUUAUAAAUAGCGUUGGUCCAUUAGCGAACCCAACCCAACGGACAAGGCUACCAAGUUUGGAUACCUACCAACUAAUGAGCCAUCGAGGGUCAGGCCCUAUCCCUUACCUAGCUUCCAUCAAUUCCCGUCUAUGAAUAAGGUAACACAUUAACACCUAAAACAGUAAUUUGUUAGCUUAGUUUUAUUUCGUAACAAUAUUCUACCUCUAUUAUUCGGGUCAUUCGAUUUUUAAAUUAAGUCGCUGUCUCGGAAAGCUACUCGGUAUAGCCUAUUGAUAGGCCACAGUCGAUAGUGUAUCGAUUUUUUUUUUCAGAGUAAGGUACAAUACAUAUUAUACUUACUUAAUAAUAAUUUCGCCAAACUUUUUACAGUGAUUUCGAUUCUUCUCUUCGAUCGUGUGGGUUGUGAGUUGGAUUACCAACCUCAUCAACCCUGGUGUUAGGGUUACUAUGGAGCCACCAAAGGCGCCUGACAUGACUCAUGUAACGACUACGUACUUACAUCAGUAAGUCGUAACCGGGACCAACGGCUUAACGUGCCUUCCGAAGCACGGAUCGUCUUACUUUCGGACAAUCAGGUGAUCGGCCUGUAAUGUCCUAACCAAACUAGGGAUCACAAAGUGAUUUUUGUGAUAUGUUCCCAACGGGAUUCAAACCCAGGACCUCAGGAACCCAGGAUCGUGAGCCCAACGCUGAACCACUGGACCACGGAGGCCGUUCGAUAGUUCGAUAGUUGAGAAUCGAUUCGAUAAUUUAAAAAAAAAAAAACAAUAGUAUCGAUAACUCAUUUCGAGUAAUACAGUCGUUACAUAGCGAUACUAUCGAUAGUAUUGCUUCUGACUAUUGCAAAAACUAUCUAUAAUAUCGAUAGUAUUGUUUAUCACUAUUGCAAGAACUACCAAAACUAUCGAUACACAGCACUAACUAUCGAUCCUAUCGAUAGUCCUUGCAUAAGGCAAUUAUCGAUAGUAUCGAUAGUAUUGGUGUGUAACGAUAGUAUUGAUUUAAAUGAGCUAUCGGUAAUAUUGGUUAUUUUCAAGGUCUAUAAUCGAUAAUUCGGCAACAGGAUUAUUCGGUCCUCUCAGAUUGUGCGCGCGAGCAGCGUUCGAAAAAUAAUCCGAGAAAAAACUCAGUCCGGAUGUACUUGUAUAUUGAAAACUCAGCUUCAUUCGUGCCAUUCCUUUAAAAACUAAUAUCAUGAGUCUCCUGUCAUAUUGUGACAAUUUCAACCAAUAACAGAGCAUCAUAAUAUAUCACGACAUUGACAUGUGUCGUCCAAUCACAACACAGCAUUGGUUUGCCGUGAUGAUUGCAGCGCCGAUGAUAGUCAGACGUUCGCCGGUCCUCAGUAUAACAUGAGCUGCCCGGAAGAAAAGUAUAUUUAAACAGUAUUACGUGAUAAAUUCGUACGCGAGUUAUUUUAAAUUGAAUAACUAAGUAUUAUGAUUUCAUUUAGUGAACUGUAAACAAAAACUACUUACUUAUCUAUUUUGUUUUCUACUAAAGCACGUGCUAAGGGCAUUGCCUGAGAGUUAAGGAGCUAUGAUCCUUGCCCACUGUUGGACAUGAAUCCGAGAUAAAGGACGUGCCAAGGACAUCGCCUGCUAGCUGACGAGCUCUGACCCUCGCCUACUCAUGGAUAUGGAGCGUCGAUGUGGUAAAGGACGUGUCAAGGACAUUGCCUGCUAGCUGAGGAAUUAUGAAACUCGCCUACUGUUGGAUAAGAUCGGAGAUGUGAUGAAGACCACGUGCCAAGGACAUCGACUGCUAGCUUACGAGCUCUGACCCUUGCCUACUCUUGGAUAUGGAGCGGAGAAAUGAUAAAGCACUUGCCAAGGACAUCGACUGCUAGCUGACGAGCUCUACUCUACGAUAUGGAGCGGAGACGCGAUAAAGGUGUGGACAGCGUGUGGGUGCUAAUCGCUGCGGAACCGCGUUGGUGUGUGUCAGCUUACCACGCCGACCUCUACGAUGUACCGAACGCGUCUGCACUACACCCACCCGAGAACAGAACCUCACGGAUAAUAGCAAGAAGAAGACCGACCUCCUUCCCAUGCUUUUGUAGCGUGCCGAACAUUUGAAGCGUCCGUUGUUAAAUAAACGGUUGAUUAAAUUACUCCUUGCAUUUCUCGAA
RNAcentral lists this long non-coding RNA (2672 nucleotides) under Pectinophora gossypiella (pink bollworm). RNAcentral describes it as "uncharacterized LOC126372837". The record is from RNAcentral. Lineage: Eukaryota; Metazoa; Arthropoda; Insecta; Lepidoptera; Gelechiidae.